Coprinopsis marcescibilis is the source of this 96-nucleotide non-coding RNA. The record is from the annotation of a GenBank genome assembly. NCBI's taxonomy places the organism in Eukaryota, Fungi, Basidiomycota, Agaricomycetes, Agaricales, Psathyrellaceae.
GCCGCGUUGGCGUAGUGGUAGCGCGUCCCACUUGUAACAGCUUGGUUAUCAAGCAAGUUCAUGGGAAGGUCAUUCGUUCAAUCCGGGUACGUGGCA